CCUACGGGAGGCAGCAGUAGGGAAUCUUCCGCAAUGGACGAAAGUCUGACGGAGCAACGCCGCGUGAACGAUGAAGGCCUUCGGGUCGUAAAGUUCUGUUGUUAGGGAAGAACAAGCGCUAGUUGAAUAAGCUGGCACCUUGACGGUACCUAACCAGAAAGCCACGGCUAACUACGUGCCAGCAGCCGCGGUAAUACGUAGGUGGCAAGCGUUGUCCGGAAUUAUUGGGCGUAAAGCGCGCGCAGGCGGUUUCUUAAGUCUGAUGUGAAAGCCCCCGGNUCAACCGGGGAGGGUCAUUGGAAACUGGGAAACUUGAGUGCAGAAGAGGAAAGUGGAAUUCCAAGUGUAGCGGUGAAAUGCGUAGAGAUUUGGAGGAACACCAGUGGCGAAGGCGACUUUCUGGUCUGUAACUGACGCUGAGGCGCGAAAGCGUGGGGAGCAAACAGGAUUAGAUACCCUGGUAGUCCACGCUGUAAACGAUGAGUGCUAAGUGUUAGUACGGGUUUCCGCCCGUUUAGUGUCGUGUAAGUUAACGUACUAUUAAGUACACUCCGCCGUCGGGGAGGUACGGUACGGCGACGACGUAGUAAACGUUAAAGUUAGUUAAGUUAGUACGGUUCGUUGUAGACGUUGCCGACGGACGACGACGAGGGAGGAGG
This 659-nucleotide ribosomal RNA is filed under the name uncultured bacterium. Its description in RNAcentral is "bacterial SSU rRNA". The stretch from base 1 to 556 matches the Rfam family "Bacterial small subunit ribosomal RNA", at positions 338 to 873 of the family's 1533-position model. The record is from RNAcentral.